RNAcentral lists this ribosomal RNA (468 nucleotides) under uncultured bacterium. RNAcentral describes it as "partial 16S ribosomal RNA". It matches the Rfam family "Bacterial small subunit ribosomal RNA", at positions 28 to 507 of the family's 1533-position model. The record is from RNAcentral.
GACGAACGCUGGCGGCGUGCUUAACACAUGCAAGUCGAACGGAAAGGCCCUGCUUUUGUGGGGUGCUCGAGUGGCGAACGGGUGAGUAACACGUGAGUAACCUGCCCUUGACUUUGGGAUAACUUCAGGAAACUGGGGCUAAUACCGGAUAGGAGCUCCUGCUGCAUGGUGGGGGUUGGAAAGUUUCGGCGGUUGGGGAUGGACUCGCGGCUUAUCAGCUUGUUGGUGGGGUAGUGGCUUACCAAGGCUUCGACGGGUAGCCGGCCUGAGAAGGUGACCGGCCACAUUGGGACUGAGAUACGGCCCAGACUCCUACGGGAGGCAGCAGUGGGGAAUAUUGCAGAAUGGGCGGAAGCCUGAUGCAGCAACGCCGCGUGCGGGAUGACGGCCUUCGGGUUGUAAACCGCUUUCGCCUGUGACGAAGCGUGAGUGACGGUAAUGGGUAAAGAAGCACCGGCUAACUACGUG